AUUGAUGUCCCUGGUCUUUAACCCCAUAAACCGUUAUAUAUGAUCAUGCACAUGACCAUUUUCACCUCGGCGGUUUUCUGUGUUUGUCGCUAGUUGUGGGCAACUCGUGGUUGCAUAUUUUGACUGGAUAUCGCUCCCUCCCCUGAAGAAGCGGAAGUCCGCGAAACAUGUAGGGUCCAUGCGAUUUCCUUUUCCAGUUGCAUC
This is a long non-coding RNA of Rana temporaria (common frog), 204 nucleotides long. RefSeq lists it as uncharacterized. The record is from RefSeq and is a predicted model, not a curated record. NCBI's taxonomy places the organism in Eukaryota, Metazoa, Chordata, Amphibia, Anura, Ranidae. The transcript has 3 exons.